Long non-coding RNA from Oncorhynchus nerka (sockeye salmon), 1840 nucleotides. RefSeq lists it as uncharacterized. The transcript is spliced from 2 exons. NCBI's taxonomy places the organism in Eukaryota, Metazoa, Chordata, Actinopteri, Salmoniformes, Salmonidae. The record is from RefSeq and is a predicted model, not a curated record.
UCACCGCCCGCUACGAGUCCACUGCCUAAUUCACCAGCAAGCACUGUGCUGCAAAGUGUUGAAGUGGGAUUCUGUAAUGAAGGUUGUGGUGUCGUGCAUAAACUUCAUCAGAGCAAAGGGACUUAAACACAGGCAGUUCCAAGAAUUCCUGUCUGAACUGGAGUCUACGCACGGAGAUGUGCUGUACUACACAGAGGUCCGAUGGCUGAGCCGGGGCAGAGUUUUGAGGCGUUUUUACGAGCUGCUACCCGAAAUUAACGCAUUUCUUCAUUUAAAAGACAAAACGGUCCCAGAGCUGAUCGACCCAGAAUGGAAAUGGCACCUCGCAUUUUUAACAGACGUGACAGAAAUACUUAACAGCCUUAACUUGCAGCUACAAGGCGAGGGGAAACUCAUUUGCGACAUGUAUUCACACAUAAAAGCAUUUGAGGUGAAAUUAGCACUGCUUUGGGAACAAGUGAAAAAGCGCAACUUCGUCCAUCUGGAGUUCGGUGUGCGUUUCAGUGAACUACAUGUUCAUGCAAAAGAAAUCCGUCUUUUUCAGAACCCCUUUGUUGCCGACAUUGAUGAAGCCCAGCCUUCAUAUCAGUUUGAGUUGGCUGAGUUACAGAACUGUGAUGUUCUGAAAGACGCAUUCAAGCCCAACAGUCUCAUUGACUUCUAUGCCGCCCUCCCAAACGACACAUAUCCAAACAUCAAAAAACACGCAAUGAAAAUGUCCACAGUUUUUGGCAGCACGUAUAUCUGCGAGAAAACCUUUUCGCAUGAAACUGCUGAAAACCCCGAUGAGAUCAAGAUUGACAGAUGAACAUUUGCAUCAGUGCUUGAGACUGGCUGUAACUAGAAUGGAACCUGAUAUUCAACUUCUCACCAGCCAGAUGCAGGCCCACAGUUCACACUGAUGAACAUACAUAGGGAAGUUGAUGAGAGAGAGCUGCAAACAGCGGUGUCUACAAGCCUACUGGAACCUACAAAAAGAUUAUAAGGAAGGAACACAAGAACUUUAAGAGACUGCUCAUAUGUGUCAGAGAGAUUCUGCUCUGACAACUGAGCUGAACUUUUAUCUGUUAAGAUUGUGCAUGGCACGACAGAAAGUUAAUGUUCCAUGGCUUUUUUUUCUAUGAAGAACCCAGAGAGAGUUAUUUAGUUAUUAUUUAUUUCCUGUUUUUUUCUGUGAAGAACUCAGAGAGGGUUAUUUAGUUAUUAUUUAUUUCAUUAAUAGUGUUAUUAUUUGUUUCCUGACUUUUUUUCUGUAAAGAACCUGGAAAGGGUUAUUUGGUUAUGUGUGGCUUUCUGGAAAACAAUGAAUUUUUUAAGCUCCCCUACGAUCGUCACACUUUUUCUGUUACAAACUGACACCGGCCCCCCAUCAGAGAAGGGAAAAGUUAUGUGGCCCUCACAGGAAAAAGUUUGGGGACCCCUGGUUUAGAUGAUCAAUUAUGUAUACAUUAAUGAUUAGAACCAUUUAUGCUAAUACUAUUAUGUUAUGAUUUGAAAAGUAUGGGUUUUUAGUUGAACUGUUACUGAAAAUGUAAGCAGAAAUGAAUUGUGUCUGUGUCUCCUGGGAAAGUUUAAGAAGGAGGGAUAAGAUAGUUUUUCAAACAGAUAAGAAUGUUUUGGUUGGAUUCCAUUAGUGGAGAGAAGUAUAUCCUUUAGACAGGUUGGAAUGUAGUUUAUGAGGGGAGUGAAACUAUCUCCAGGACCGAAUACUACGCCAUUGUGAGGCUGGGAGAGGGUGUGAAACUGAUGACGUCAUUUUAUGUCUUCUUUCUUUAAAAUGUAAUGUUCUUUGUAUUUUGGGUCAGUACUCUCUCGUAAUAAACGCUGUUACCUUUGGCUU